CCUACGGGGGGCUGCAGUGGGGAAUAUUGGACAAUGGGGGCAACCCUGAUCCAGCCAUGCCGCGUGUGUGAAGAAGGCCCUCGGGUUGUAAAGCACUUUCAGUGAGGAAGAACGCCUGGUGGUUAAUACCCAUCAGGAAAGACAUCACUCACAGAAGAAGCACCGGCUAACUCCGUGCCAGCAGCCGCGGUAAUACGGAGGGUGCGAGCGUUAAUCGGAAUUACUGGGCGUAAAGCGCGCGUAGGUGGCUUGAUAAGCCGGUUGUGAAAGCCCCGGGCUCAACCUGGGAACGGCAUCCGGAACUGUCAAGCUAGAGUGCAGGAGAGGAAGGUAGAAUUCUCGGUGUAGCGGUGAAAUGCGUAGAGAUCGGGAGGAAUACCAGUGGCGAAGGCGGCCUUCUGGACUGACACUGACACUGAGGUGCGAAAGCGUGGGUAGCAAACAGGAUUAGAUACCCUAGUAGUC
Molecule: ribosomal RNA, 465 nt
Filed under: Vreelandella stevensii
Lineage: Bacteria; Pseudomonadati; Pseudomonadota; Gammaproteobacteria; Oceanospirillales; Halomonadaceae
Description: partial 16S ribosomal RNA
Rfam family: Bacterial small subunit ribosomal RNA
Source: RNAcentral